Molecule: ribosomal RNA, 472 nt
Filed under: uncultured bacterium
Lineage: Bacteria
Description: bacterial SSU rRNA
Rfam family: Bacterial small subunit ribosomal RNA
Source: RNAcentral
CCUUACACAUGCAAGUCGAACGGCAGCAUGGAAGAGCUUGCUCUUCUGGAUGGCGAGUGGCGAACGGGUGAGUAAAGCAUCGGAACGUACCGUGUAGUGGGGGAUAACGCAGCGAAAGCUGUGCUAAUACCGCAUACGAUCUAUGGAUGAAAGCAGGGGAUCGCAAGACCUUGCGCUAUACGAGCGGCCGAUGUCAGAUUAGCUAGUUGGUAGGGUAAAGGCCUACCAAGGCGACGAUCUGUAGCGGGUCUGAGAGGAUGAUCCGCCACACUGGGACUGAGACACGGCCCAGACUCCUACGGGAGGCAGCAGUGGGGAAUUUUGGACAAUGGGCGAAAGCCUGAUCCAGCCAUGCCGCGUGAGUGAAGAAGGCCUUCGGGUUGUAAAGCUCUUUCGGCUGGGAAGAAAUCGCACAGGCUAAUACUCUGUGUGGAUGACGGUACCAGCACAAGAAGCACCGGCUAACUACGUG